Molecule: ribosomal RNA, 87 nt
Filed under: Gyliotrachela hungerfordiana
Lineage: Eukaryota; Metazoa; Mollusca; Gastropoda; Stylommatophora; Vertiginidae
Description: partial 5.8S ribosomal RNA
Rfam family: 5.8S ribosomal RNA
About the family: 5.8S ribosomal RNA (5.8S rRNA) is a component of the large subunit of the eukaryotic ribosome. It is transcribed by RNA polymerase I as part of the 45S precursor that also contains 18S and 28S rRNA.
Source: RNAcentral
GUACAACUUUGAGCGGUGGAUCACUCGGCUCGUGCGUCGAUGAAGAGCGCAGCCAGCUACGUGAAUUAAUGUGAAUUGCAGAACACA